CAACAGAACCAUAACAAGUACUAUCUAUGUCACCACGACUAUGGCCACGACAUUGAAGACUGCAUUCAGCUUUGGAAUGAGAUAGAAGAGCUCUUUCGAUGUGGGUUCCUGGAUCAGUUUAUCAGGCAUCAUUAGGAGCAGCAAGAGGAAUGGCGGAGAUCAUCCAGCCCACCAGAACAAUGGCAAAGGGAAUCCUCUGGAGAUCAAUCUCGUGCAAAAGUAAUAAAUGCAAUAACUAGAGGGCAUCGGAGUAGAGCAGAGG
Molecule: long non-coding RNA, 262 nt
Filed under: Elaeis guineensis (African oil palm)
Lineage: Eukaryota; Viridiplantae; Streptophyta; Magnoliopsida; Arecales; Arecaceae
Description: long non-coding RNA (EGUI_LNC038563)
Source: RNAcentral